Molecule: transfer RNA, 96 nt
Filed under: Alphaproteobacteria bacterium
Lineage: Bacteria; Pseudomonadati; Pseudomonadota; Alphaproteobacteria
Description: tRNA-Sec
Rfam family: Selenocysteine transfer RNA
Source: RNAcentral
UGGAAGGAAAUCGUCUCCGGUGAGGCGCCUAGACUUCAAAUCUAGCGAGAGGCGUUAUAUACGUGUCUGGUGGGUUCGACUCCUGCUCCUUCCGCC